AACGCGAAGAACCUUACCAGGAUUCGACAUAUCCCUUUUGGAUUCCCGAAAAGGAGUCCUUCAUUUAGUUGGGGGGAAUACAGGUGCUGCAUGGCUGUCGUCAGCUCGUGUCGUGAGAUGUUGGGUUAAGUCCCGCAACGAGCGCAACCCUCGUCCUCUGUUGCUAACAGGUUAAGCUGAGCACUCUGAGGAAACUGCCGGUGAUAAGCCGGAGGAAGGUGGGGAUGACGUCAAGUCCUCAUGGCCCUUACAUCCUGGGCUACACACGUGUUACAAUGGUGGUGACAAUGGGUCGCGAUCCCGCAAGGGCUAGCUAAUCCCCAAAAGCCACCUCAGUUCGGAUUGUACUCUGCAACUCGAGUACAUGAAGCUGGAAUCGCUAGUAAUCGUGGAUCAGCACGCCACGGUGAAUACGUUCCCGGGCCUUGUACACACCGCGAGC
Molecule: ribosomal RNA, 442 nt
Filed under: uncultured bacterium
Lineage: Bacteria
Description: bacterial SSU rRNA
Rfam family: Bacterial small subunit ribosomal RNA
Source: RNAcentral